AUUGAACGCUGGCGGCAUGCCUUACACAUGCAAGUCGAACGGCAGCACGGGAGCAAUCCUGGUGGCGAGUGGCGAACGGGUGAGUAAUACAUCGGAACGUGCCCAGUAGUGGGGGAUAACCCGGCGAAAGCCGGACUAAUACCGCAUACGACCUACGGGUGAAAGCGGGGGAUCGCAAGACCUCGCGCUAUCGGAGCGGCCGAUGUCAGAUUAACUAGUUGGUGGGGUAAAGGCCUACCAAGGCGACGAUCUGUAGCUGGUCUGAGAGGACGACCAGCCACACUGGGACUGAGACACGGCCCAGACUCCUACGGGAGGCAGCAGUGGGGAAUUUUGGACAAUGGGCGCAAGCCUGAUCCAGCCAUGCCGCGUGCGGGAAGAAGGCCUUCGGGUUGUAAACCGCUUUUGUCAGGGAAGAAACGCUCCGGGCUAAUACCACGGAGUAAUGACGGUACCUGAAGAAUAAGCACCGGCUAACUACGUG
This 484-nucleotide ribosomal RNA is filed under the name uncultured bacterium. RNAcentral describes it as "partial 16S ribosomal RNA". It matches the Rfam family "Bacterial small subunit ribosomal RNA", at positions 29 to 507 of the family's 1533-position model. The record is from RNAcentral.